AAGACCUUGCGCUUUUGGAGCGGCCGAUGCCUGAUUAGCUUGUUGGUAAGGUAAAAGCUUACCAAGGCUUCGAUCAGUAGCUGGUCUGAGAGGACGACCAGCCACACUGGGACUGAGACACGGCCCAGACUCCUACGGGAGGCAGCAGUGGGGAAUUUUGGACAAUGGGGGCAACCCUGAUCCAGCCAUGCCGCGUGAGUGAAGAAGGCCUUCGGGUUGUAAAGCUCUUUCAGCCGGGAAGAAAAGGUUGCGAUUAAUAAUCGCAAUUUAUGACGGUACCGGAAGAAGAAGCACCGGCUAACUACGUGCCAGCAGCCGCGGUAAUACGUAGGGUGCGAGCGUUAAUCGGAAUUACUGGGCGUAAAGGGUGCGCAGGCGGUUUUGUAAGUCAGAUGUGAAAUCCCCGGGCUUAACCUGGGAACU
Molecule: ribosomal RNA, 423 nt
Filed under: uncultured bacterium
Lineage: Bacteria
Description: bacterial SSU rRNA
Rfam family: Bacterial small subunit ribosomal RNA
Source: RNAcentral